RNAcentral lists this ribosomal RNA (433 nucleotides) under uncultured bacterium. Its description in RNAcentral is "partial 16S ribosomal RNA". It matches the Rfam family "Bacterial small subunit ribosomal RNA", at positions 29 to 507 of the family's 1533-position model. The record is from RNAcentral.
AACGAACGCUGGCGGCAUGCCUAACACAUGCAAGUCGAACGAGACCUUCGGGUCUAGUGGCGCACGGGUGCGUAACGCGUGGGAACCUGCCCUUAGGUUCGGAAUAACUCCCCGAAAGGGGUGCUAAUACCGGAUAAUGUCUUCGGACCAAAGAUUUAUCGCCUUUGGAUGGGCCCGCGUUGGAUUAGCUAGUUGGUAGGGUAAAAGCCUACCAAGGCGACGAUCCAUAGCUGGUCUGAGAGGAUGAUCAGCCACACUGGGACUGAGACACGGCCCAGACUCCUACGGGAAGCAGCAGAGGGGAAUAUUGGACUAUGGGCGGAGGCCUGAUCCAGCAAUGCCGCGUGAGUGAUGAAGGCGUUAGGGUUGUAAAGCUCUUUUACCCGGGAUGAUAAUGACAGUACCGGGAGAAUAAGCACCGGCUAACUCCGUG